AGGCUUUGAUCCUGGCUCAGAAUGAACGUUGGCGGCGUGGAUUAGGCAUGCAAGUCGAGCGCGAGUCCCUGUUUAGCAAUAAGUGGGGAUGAAAGCGGCGAAAGGGUUAGUAACACGUAGAUCACGUACCCUCGGGUUCGGGAUAGGGGCGGGAAACUGCCGGUAAUACCGAAUAAUGUCUCCGGACCAAAGAUUUAUUGCCCGAGGAGCGGUCUGCGUCCUAUUAGCUUGUUGGUGAGGUAAUGGCUCACCAAGGCGAAGAUGGGUAGCGGGUGUGAGAGCAUGACCCGCAACACUGGGACUGAGACACUGCCCAGACACCUACGGGUGGCUGCAGUCGAGAAUCUUCCGCAAUGGACGAAAGUCUGACGGAGCGACGCCGCGUGCGGGAUGAAGGCCUUCGGGUUGUAAACCGCUGUCAGAGGGGAGCAAAUUUUGAGCGAUCCUCAGAGGAAGCACAGGCU
RNAcentral lists this ribosomal RNA (464 nucleotides) under uncultured Planctomycetaceae bacterium. RNAcentral's name for it is "bacterial SSU rRNA". It matches the Rfam family "Bacterial small subunit ribosomal RNA", at positions 8 to 498 of the family's 1533-position model. Lineage: Bacteria; Pseudomonadati; Planctomycetota; Planctomycetia; Planctomycetales; Planctomycetaceae. The record is from RNAcentral.